Molecule: long non-coding RNA, 2470 nt
Filed under: Solanum lycopersicum (tomato)
Lineage: Eukaryota; Viridiplantae; Streptophyta; Magnoliopsida; Solanales; Solanaceae
Description: partial TCONS_00010035
Source: RNAcentral
CCCAGAAAAUGCAGAAAAAAGGCAAACACUCCAAAAAUGGAAAUUGCCCCAGAAACCCACGCUCUCUACCCCUCGUGUCCCUCCCCGCGCUCUCUCCCUCUCUCUCGUCCUCUCUCGUCUCCCCACGUUCUCUCUCCUCAUCUCUCUAGCGCGUGGAGGAGCGAUGCAGUGCAACGGAAACCUGCAGUUCUGCUCCUCCGUACGCAGCCUCCCAGUGAGCACAAGGCGACAAGAGUUUCGUCCUUCCAACGCAAGAUGGCUCCACGUAGCUUGUCCAGUACGAGAAAUUGAUAUCGACCCUCCACCUGUUUCCCGCUCGAUUUGCUCUUUUGGAUGAGGUUUGAAGGUUUUUCGGAUUUGAAUUGGAAAUGGGCCUGAGGAGCGUCCAGCCCUCUUCAUCCGUAAAACCCUAAAUUUCUCCCUAUAUAAACCCCCCACCAACCUUAGGUUGAGGUUGGCUAUUUUUAUUGGAAAUUCUUGGUUGAAUAUUCUUUUGCCUCUUCUAUUUACUUAACGAAAAUUUCUCUUUGACUUUCCUAGUUCUGUUUUUUAGAAGAGUUCAAAUUUCAGAGGUUUGAAAUUCUGAGGGGUUAGACCUUUUGGAUGAACAGGGGGAAUUAGAAACCUUGUUUAGAUUUUCUUAUCACAGAGGUGUCUACAGAGGGAGAUCUGUCUCGUGUUCUUAGAAAAGAGAUGAGGAAGUUUUCUAAGCUAGCUUGCGUUGGACUGGUGUUCGUGCUCACACGGUGGUAGUCGUCCCCAUCCCCUGCUCAUUCUCGUCCCAGCUUUGCUACGCUUAGAAAGGUAACAUCAUAUCUCUUGUCACAGCGUUCCAUUCCUAUUUUUCUGUGUGUGAUUGCUAGCCGUUGGUGCUACUGAACGUAUGUGUUUUAGUCGUUUCAAAGCAGGGUAUGGAAAUGAGAAUUUUGAGCACCUGUUGACCUCUGUUUAGUAUUUUAAGUUCCGUAUAUGUUGGUGUUGUUCCAUCUCGAGUUCAUUCGUGACGUGCCCUUUGGUUUCCAUCGUGAGGUUAUUCAGUCAUAUAUUCGAUGGGCAAAUCCAAAGUUUUAUGAAGAUCGAAGGAUUCCAAGAGGGGAUUAAAAGACUUCCUUAUUUUAUGCAUUUUUUUAUUUUAGUUUUGUAAUGGGCCUAAGCCCUUGUUGUAUUAUUUUCCUUCUCUUGUAUUUUCAUUUUGUAUGUUUAGACUAGGACAGGUACGAAAGAGGAAUGGGUCAAAAACCCAAAAGAAAACAGGUGGGUCCAAAACUCGAUCAUGGCGAACAGAACCCGAGUUUGGAUCCACAAUCCCCCCCUCUCUCUCUCUCUCUCUCCUUUUAUUAUUCGUUUAUAUGUUCGCUUGAAUGUCGUUAGUUAGGGUUAGAAGAAUUCAAACCCCAUCGAACGCGUUUCAUUUUAUCAAACUUAAAAAUUUAAAGCUAAGUCCUAAAAAUGAUAAUUUGUUUCAAAUUUGCAGAGAUUGUUUAGAUAAAACCAUAAGAAAGUUUAACUCAGAAAUAGACUCGCAAAAGUUGCAAGAUAAAUAUUUCGAAACUUGUAAAUUUGUCUUAAAUAUUUCAACUUGUAAAUUUAUCUAAAUGAAACUUUAAUAAGUUCAACUUAAAGAUUCGCAAAAUUUUAAAACAAAAUUAGUCAAAUAAGUUAAUCGCUGGAAAACCGUAAGUUAGCGGAGUGUCUUAGGUGCCUUACACCUUCCUAAGACACUAAAUAGGAAUCCCGAACCCUUAAAAUGUUUUCAAAAUAAUUUUUUCUGUUUAAGUUAUUUUGGAAAUAAGUUUUCUUGAUUUUUCUUAAAAAAUCAAGUGGCGACUCCUAAAAGUCGAAAAUAUCUUCAAAAAUAAAACAAACUCUUUUCGAAAUCAAUUUUUUCGAUAAAGCAUCUACAAUCUUAUUACACAUUGUGCGUGCAGAUACGCUCUAUACGACUUCUGUCUAAGAUGAGCUAGUGUGCGCUUGCACUCGUGGUUUAGGAUUUGUCACACAUGUUAGACCGGUUUUGACCAUAAGUUUAAUCGAAAUUCCUCUACUACUAGUCCGCUAAGCCUCCCCGACUCGAGUUGUCUACUCGAGUAAAGAUAUUCUACACAUCUUCCAUAUAAAGUAUUAUAUCUAGCGAAACAAUCCACAAACUAUCCCUGAUGGCUGAUAGGGUACGUUUAAUUAUUUGCAUCAUGUGCAUUUAACCUAGAAAAUCUAAUAUAGGUGCUACGUGAAAAUUAUUUUAUUAAGAAGGCCUUUACUUGUUGACCUACAUUAUAAUAAAUUUGCCUUUCAAUUUUAUUUCCAUAAAAACAAGGAACAAAAGGUUGAAAUAAAAGGGGUGGUCUUUCAAGUGUGGGUAAUUUUUUUUUAACUACACAUAUAAUUAUUUUCUCUCUAAAAUGAGAAUCGUAUGCAUCCGUUCUCAGUUUUGGUGUUUUAAGAAAAGGGAAUUUUGUUUACUUUUAAAAAG